Long non-coding RNA from Monopterus albus (swamp eel), 3337 nucleotides. RefSeq lists it as uncharacterized. The transcript has 4 exons. The record is from RefSeq and is a predicted model, not a curated record. NCBI's taxonomy places the organism in Eukaryota, Metazoa, Chordata, Actinopteri, Synbranchiformes, Synbranchidae.
UACCUUCCACCACAGGGUAUAAUGGUGUCUGUGUUGACGUUUAUGUAUUUGCAUUAGUUGUUAUCUUUCUGUAAAUUCAAUUAGAAAGGUGAGGCGUUGGUGUGAAGACACGGACUGUGAAGGUGACGGACGUGACGCAGAGGAGUUCGCCAAGUGACGCAUGUCAAAGCUGCCGGAGAGUAGAUUUAUUUAUGUCCAAUGUUAUAGCUGAUAAAGACUUUACCAACUCGCUACGCCCAUGUUAAGACCCACAAAAGAACCUGAAAACCAGUCAGGCAAGACCUAUGGGACUGGGGAGUCUUCAACUUGAAGAGGACUUUACGUGCACAUACGAGCAUUACCGACAACUUCUAAGAAGAGGGAUAACACAGGAUUUGAAUUAGACUCGCCAAUCGACCUAACGAACAUGUCUUUGUGGGAGGAGGUCAACAUACCAAGAAAACCCAUAUAGGCACGGGGAGAACAUGCCAAGUCCGCACAACCCCUCAGUCAGGCAGGAGAGUUCCAGACAUUCUGUGUUUUCAGAGUUCUGUACAUCUGCACCCAUCCUAUGUCGGGGAAACCGUCUGCACAUGGAAAAGAAGACUAUACAAUACAGCAAGUCUUUCCACACAUAAAUACAAAAGAAUUGGUUUAUAAAUAUGUCUAUGUGAGCACAGGCAUUUACUCUACAUGUCAGUUCAAAUUACAGUUAUUUAUAGAGCCUAAAAUCAUAUACAAUACCUCAUGCAACAGCCCACAUGUUCCAAGAGGACAACGGAAAAAAUAAAACUUGAGAACAAAAGGAAUGAAAUGGAAAACAUACAGUUCAAAUCAGAACCAUUUUUCUUGCGGGGCUGGAGGUGUAAACAUCUGUGGAUUGCUCUGGCAGUUACACAAAAUGAAAAGAAAGCUGUUAUAGUAGAGAUACAACAUAGAACAAUGAGAUUAUGAUAUAGCAGCAUAGUAAAAAUGAAAUCAAAGGAUUGGGCCUAUAAAAUAAGUCCACUGAAAUAAAUAAGUCCAAUAUUCCUCACUUUGUUCCAAGUCCAAUGUGUGAGGUUUCUGCAUACUGAUAGCCAUGUUGGAUAUGACUGAUCAUGAUAACUUCUUCUAGUAAUUCCAAACUAGCCAUAAAUGUUCAUGAGAUGGGAUUUGUGGGAGAGCUGGUGGUGGUGAUGGGACUUUUAGGAGGAUGUGAAGUGUGACAGGUUAUGUCAGCUUGGUAGAGUAGAAAGCUGGGGAAGCGUGAUGGGCUAAGCUCCACCAGAGCACCUUACAGGCAGCAGCAUGCAAACCUGUCUACUAGAAAUCACUUUUUUUCAAUCAAACUUAAUUUGGUUGCUUUUUCAUUUCCUACAAAAUGUACUUCCUGUUGCAGGAGACAUGUUUAUGGCACACCAGCAGAGAGGUGAACUUUAGGGACCAGCAGUUCUCGCAUCUACGCAGAAAUCAUCUCUCUACAUUAUCCAUGUUGAGAGAUAAGCGUGACAUACUGGCAAAAUAUCAAUAAUAUGAAAUGUCAGAGGCAUUUUUUUUCACAUUAGGCCUUAAUUUGAAAGAAUCAAUCAGAGCUGGCUGGCUAAUUGCAGUUAACUACACUUUGUAAUGAUUAUUUGCAAAGCACACCACACAGUACAACCAGAUCUUGUAAGUUAAUGUAAGUCUUUAUUGUGCACUUGUAUAGUUAUGAAAUUUAAUCUACAUAAAUGUAUUGUCUUGAUGGGAUUUAUUUAGAAAACACAUUACAGAAUAAAUGCAAAGGAGAAUAGAGAAACUGAGGAAGAGGAAAAACAAGGAGAGGCUGACUGAAACCUGUCCCUUUGUGGAGCUAUUACACCCAAAAGAUCUAUAUUUUACAGUUUCCUGAUCAUUUCACAGUUAGAAAUUGUUAUUCCUUUCCAGAAACUGAUCCUAGCCACAGUUACUGGGUUUUCCCCUUCAUCCUCUUCUAAGUCAGAUUUCAAGGUCAAACUACAGGAGACAGUAAUAAAUGUUAAAGAGCCCUUUGAAGGACUGCUCUCAUUUGACUAAUGUUGGGGCCCAUAAACCAGACUGUAAUUACUAUCAGCUAUAAUAAAGUUUGUCACGAGUCUACUGGCACGUAAUUCACCUCUGGUAGGACGUGCAGCAGAAAAAUCAUUGCCACAAGACGGCAUGCCAUUUGUUAUGGACCCCACGCUUCCCGAGUCUGUCAUCAUUCUGGGGGGUGAUGUACGUUUGGCGUUGGACCCCCCCCAUCCUCUCUGUUAUUACCAUAAUUCCCUGUGAUACAGUUGAAACCUGUUGCUCUAGCUCACAGCUACAAGUCCACUGCACUAUUAAUCAGUCCCUAUGCACUCCUCAUGUAGGAGUGUGUCCAUCUGCAAGGGGCAUCAGCAUGUGUUAAAUUUUUUAUGGUUCCACUGUGUAUGUGUGUAUUUGAAUUUUAAAGUCAGAUGAGAUGGAGAAGGGGGUGAAAGGUAUUUUUUGUGACUCCUGUAAAUGUUAUCAGAAUGCGAAAUAUGAACGCACAUCAUAUUUCCCCAAUCGGAUUGUGUGCAGAAAGGCGUAAAUGAGUAUCACAGUUAAUGAUUUAUGAGAGAAAGCACGCAGGACAUGUUACAGUAUGCAACCAAAAGCCAAAUUUACAUUCAUAUUACAGUUUUAAUUUGGCUAAAAUUGUAUUAGUCAGAUAUGGAAACAAAUUAUUAUGGCUGGCAUGUUAGCAAACAACGUGGCGAGUAACAUUCACAGGUGCAGACCAGUUCAUCCUGAGUCUGUUUCUAGAUUAGUUUGUCACACAACAGAUAGAACUCCAUUCUAUCAGAUGUGUCUCAGACACACACGCAUGAGCAACAUCACCCCUGGAUCCCUGGACUUCUGGUCUGCUUGCUCUGGUGCGUUUAGUGAAGUGUAAUCUUCACAGACAGCUGUUUAAGUCAAACUUGUUACUGAUAUCUGUUAUGACUGUUCAGACUCCUGAUAUGGCUCUGAGCUUUUUGGUUUCACUUUGCCCCGCUCCCUGUAGCCUGCCGGGUAAACACAACAAAAUCAUUGAAUGAAUUUAUACAUUAAAAAACAUGCUGAUUUCUUCGAGAUAGCCCCACAUGAAAGCCACUUUUGUCUAGUAGAUUUCUAGACAGAGGAGAGAGAGAGAAAGUCUGUAUGGGACCCAGAUUGGCCUAAUGCUCCAAUAUUCACGCCUUGGGUUGAAUACAAAGUGAAAAUAUACAAAUGAAGAUGUACAGCAACAAUCCCCCCACCCCACCUGGGGGACACAGCCUCCAUGCCAGGCCUCUUGAUCCACAGGAAACACUGUGUAAGAUUAAAAAUGGGAGGAAUCUUCUACAGAUUGUGGUUUUUUUUUUCGAGUGAC